UUGAACGCUGGCGGCAGGCCUAACACAUGCAAGUCGAGCGGAUGAAGGGAGCUUGCUCCUGGAUUCAGCGGCGGACGGGUGAGUAAUGCCUAGGAAUCUGCCUGGUAGUGGGGGAUAACGUCCGGAAACGGGCGCUAAUACCGCAUACGUCCUGAGGGAGAAAGUGGGGGAUCUUCGGACCUCACGCUAUCAGAUGAGCCUAGGUCGGAUUAGCUAGUUGGUGGGGUAAAGGCCUACCAAGGCGACGAUCCGUAACUGGUCUGAGGGGAUGAUCAGUCACACUGGAACUGAGACACGGUCCAGACUCCUACGGGAGGCAGCAGUGGGGAAUAUUGGACAAUGGGCGAAAGCCUGAUCCAGCCAUGCCGCGUGUGUGAAGAAGGUCUUCGGACUGUAAAGCACUUUAAGUUGGGAGGAAGGGCAGUAAGUUAAUACCUUGCUGUUUUGACGUUACCAACAGAAUAAGCACCGGCUAACUUCGUG
RNAcentral lists this ribosomal RNA (483 nucleotides) under uncultured bacterium. RNAcentral describes it as "partial 16S ribosomal RNA". It matches the Rfam family "Bacterial small subunit ribosomal RNA", at positions 30 to 507 of the family's 1533-position model. The record is from RNAcentral.